AAAGGAAUAGACGGGGACCCGCACAAGCGGUGGAUGAUGUGGAUUAAUUCGAUGCAACGCGAAAAACCUUACCUACCCUUGACAUGGCAGGAAUCCCGAAGAGAUUUGGGAGUGCUCGCAAGAGAACCUGCACACAGGUGCUGCAUGGCUGUCGUCAGCUCGUGUCGUGAGAUGUUGGGUUAAGUCCCGCAACGAGCGCAACCCUUGUCAUUAGUUGCUACGAAAGGGCACUCUAAUGAGACUGCCGGUGACAAACCGGAGGAAGGUGGGGAUGACGUCAAGUCCUCAUGGCCCUUAUGGGUAGGGCUUCACACGUCAUACAAUGGUACAUACAGAGGGCCGCCAACCCGCGAGGGGGAGCUAAUCCCAGAAAGUGUAUCGUAGUCCGGAUUGUAGUCUGCAACUCGACUACAUGAAGUUGGAAUCGCUAGUAAUCGCGGAUCAGCAUGUCGCGGUGAAUACGUUCCCGGGUCUUGUACACACCGCCCGU
This 490-nucleotide ribosomal RNA is filed under the name uncultured bacterium. RNAcentral's name for it is "bacterial SSU rRNA". It matches the Rfam family "Bacterial small subunit ribosomal RNA", at positions 903 to 1397 of the family's 1533-position model. The record is from RNAcentral.